This 215-nucleotide long non-coding RNA is filed under the name Vigna radiata. RNAcentral describes it as "long non-coding RNA (VRAD_LNC003220)". Lineage: Eukaryota; Viridiplantae; Streptophyta; Magnoliopsida; Fabales; Fabaceae. The record is from RNAcentral.
GGGCAUCGGACGGCCGUCCUUGUGAUGUAACAAGAAAAGAUUUGACGGCCAUCCUUGUGGUAUGACAAGAAAAGCUGACGCUGGCCAUGUCGGUGGUAUGGAGAGCAUGGGCGAUGUCGGGCUAUCUAUGAUGAGCUCCAUGUAAAUUCUUCAAAGUCUCUUUCGGGCCGGUUUGUGUCCGGCCAUGACUAUUGACAGUCAUGUAGACAUCACAG